This 1244-nucleotide long non-coding RNA is filed under the name Macaca fascicularis (crab-eating macaque). Its description in RNAcentral is "lncRNA (ENSMFAG00000033398.2)". The record is from RNAcentral. Lineage: Eukaryota; Metazoa; Chordata; Mammalia; Primates; Cercopithecidae.
GUCUCCAGAGCUGCAGGAGAAGAUGGCCUACUUGGAUCAAACCCUCGCAGGGCCAUCAGGCACCAGAAGGAUUUUGCCAGCAUAGUGCUCCUGGACCAGCGAUACGCCCGGCCCCCUGUCCUGGCCAAGCUGCCGGCCUGGAUCCGAGCCCGUGUGGAGGUUAAAGCUACCUUUGGCCCUGCCAUUGCUGCUGUGCAGAAGGUCAGUCCCACCUUUUUCUUUCUGAGAGCCUCCCCACCCCGAGAUCUCUCUUCUCACUGCCUUCUGUCUGCCCAGUUUCACCGGGAGAAGUCGGCGUCUUCCUGAUGGGCAACCACACCACCGCCUGGCGCCGCGCCCUUCCUUUGCCCUGCCCGCUGGAGACAGUAUUUGUCGUGGGCCUGGUCUACAGGGAUCCUGUUACAAGGGUGAAACCCGGGAGGAGAGUGUGGAGUCCAGAGCGCUGCCAGCGCCCAGGCACAGGCAUUAGCUCCCGUAGGAGAAAAUGGGGGAAUCCUGAAGAAACAGUGGGUCCUGGCUGGCCUUGGGGCAUUCCAGGGCAGCUCCCCUCCUGGCAUAGAAUCUUCCUUUCCAUCCUGCAUGGCUGAGAGCCAGGCUUCCUGCCUGGUCUCCACAGGAAGCUGUGGCAACUGUGGCAUCCACUGUGGCAUCUCCAUCCUGCCCACCUUCUUAAGAGUUGAGAUAGAGCAGGCCUGUUUGCCUCUGCCCUUUCUAGCCAAGGUUAACUGCCCUGGACUGCUCAUCCUCUGGUCUCAAUUUAAAAUGAUCCCAUGGCCGCAGGGCUCCUGCCCAGGGACUUGUCACCUGCCCCUCCUUCCUGAGUCACACCUGCAGCCCUGCUCCCUAACCUGUCCCACAGCCCUGCCUGGAUUUGUGUCUCUCUGGCUUCGCACCAGUUCCUCCGCAUCUGUGGCACCUCCUUCCCUCUCAACCACUUAAACAAACUCCAAGACACCUUCUACCCCACACCAUCAAUUAUGCCAAGGGCCAUUAGGCUCUCAACAUGACUAUAGAGACCCCGUGUCAUCACGGAGACCUUUUUUCCUGUGGGAAAAUAUCCCUCCCACCUGCAACAGCUGCCCCUGCUGACUGCGCCUGUCUUCUCCCUCUGACCCCAGAGAAAGGGGCCGUGGCCAGCUGGCAUCUUCUGCCGCCAUUAGGGACCAACGGGGGCCAGAGGAGAGUCACUGAUGCCCAGAUGUUUGCAUCCUGCACAGCUACACGUCCUUAAUUAAAAGUGUACU